AACGUAGGACGCGAGCGUUAUCCGGAGUUACUGGGCGUAAAGAGCGCGCAGGCGGUCGUUCAAGUCGGAUGUGAAAGCCCCCGGCUCAACUGGGGAGGGUCAUUCGAUACUGAUCGACUCGAAGGCAGGAGAGGGAAGCGGAAUUCCCGGUGUAGUGGUGAAAUGCGUAGAUAUCGGGAGGAACACCAGUGGCGAAGGCGGCUUCCUGGCCUGUUCUUGACGCUGAGGCGCGAAAGCCAGGGGAGCAAACGGG
RNAcentral lists this ribosomal RNA (253 nucleotides) under uncultured bacterium. Its description in RNAcentral is "partial 16S ribosomal RNA". It matches the Rfam family "Bacterial small subunit ribosomal RNA", at positions 524 to 776 of the family's 1533-position model. The record is from RNAcentral.